Triticum aestivum (bread wheat) is the source of this 125-nucleotide non-coding RNA. The record is from Rfam. NCBI's taxonomy places the organism in Eukaryota, Viridiplantae, Streptophyta, Magnoliopsida, Poales, Poaceae.
UAUAUACUCCCUCCGUUCGAAAAUACUUGUCGGAGAAAUGGACGUAUCUAGACGUAUUUUAGUUCUAGAUACAUCUAUUUUUAUCUAUUUCUCUGACAAGUAUUUCCAGAUGGAGGGAGUAUGCG